Macaca mulatta (Rhesus monkey) is the source of this 1715-nucleotide non-coding RNA. NCBI's taxonomy places the organism in Eukaryota, Metazoa, Chordata, Mammalia, Primates, Cercopithecidae. The record is from RefSeq and is a predicted model, not a curated record.
UCACCCCGCCCAAGGGCCGUGCGUACGUGCGUCGUCUCUAUGGUGGCGGUGGAUUUGGAGGGACCCUACGAACCAAGAGUCAGGCGAGCCGAUCUGGGGGCUGCGGGUGUUACUUCUGACCUAGGCCGGGGGCUUCAGGGAUCCGAGCCGAGCGCGCCUGGUGAUUCGAAGGCACCUCCCUACAGAAUGUUCCGCUGGGAGCGCUCCAUUCCCCUUCGAGGCUCGGCCGCCGCCCUGUGCAACAACCUCAGUGUGCUGCAGCUGCCGGCUCGCAACCUCACGUAUUUUGGUGUGGUUCAUGGACCAAGCGCCCAGCUUCUCAGCGCUGCUCCUGAGGGUGUGCCCUUGGCCCAGCGCCAGCUCCACGCUAAGGAGGGUGCUGGAGUGAGCCCACCACUUAUCACUCAGGUGAGGCAUGGAGUUAGCAGUGAUGUUGCUGAACCCUGUCCUACCCCCAGCCUUUUCUCUCCAAACCUUCAGGAGCAGGCAUGUUCUAACUUCAGAAUCUCCACCUUUCUGCCUGGCGCGGUGGCUCACGCCUGUAAUCCCAACGCUUUGGGAGGCUGAGACGGGCACUUGAGGCCAGGAGUUCGAGAACAGCCUGGCCAACAUGGUGAAACCUCUUCUCUACUAAGAAUACAAAAAUAUUAACGGGGUGUGGUGGUGUGCACCUGUAAUCCCAGCUACUUGGGAGGCUGAGGCAGGAGAAUCGCUUGAACCCAGGAGACUGAGGUUGCAGUGAGCCGAGAUGGUGCCACUGCACUCCAGCCUGGGCAAAACAGCAAGACUCCAUUCCCCCCCACCCCCCGCCAAAAAAAAAGACUCAUCUUCCCUGCUUUGAUUUUCUCCCUACACUGAUGCACCUCCCUCCAGGUCCACUGGUGUGUCCUCCCCUUCCGAGUGCUGCUGGUACUCACCUCACAUCGAGGAAUACAGAUGUACGAGUCCAAUGGCUACACCAUGGUCUACUGGCAUGCACUGGACUCUGGAGAUGCCUCCCCAGUACAGGCUGUGUUUGCCCGGGGAAUUGCUGCCAGUGGCCACUUCAUCUGUGUGGGAACAUGGUCAGGCCGGGUGCUGGUGUUUGACAUCCCAGCCAAGGGUCCCAACAUUGUACUGAGCGAGGAGCUGGCUGGGCACCAGACACCAAUCACAGACAUUGCCACUGAGCCUGCCCAGGGACAGGAUUGUGUGGCUGACAUGGUGACGGCAGAUGACUCAGGCUUGCUGUGUGUCUGGCGGUCAGGGCCAGAAUUCACAUUAUUGACCCGCAUUCCAGGAUUUGGGUAGAGUGCCGUGCCCCUCUGUGCAGUUGUGGCAGGGGAUCAUAGCAGCAGGCUAUGGGAACGGACAAGUGCAUCUGUAUGAGGCCGCCACAGGAAAUCUACAUGUCCAGAUCAAUGCCCAUGCCCGGGCCAUCUGCGCCCUGGACCUGGCUCCUGAGGUGGGCAAGCUACUCUCUGCAGGUGAGGACACCUUUGUGCAUAUCUGGAAGCUGAGCAGAAGCCCAGAGAGUGGCUACAUUGAGGUGGAACACUGUCAUGGUGAGUGUGUCUCUGACACCCAGCUGUGUGGUGCUCGAUUUUGUGAUUCCUCGGGCAGCUCCUUUGCCGUAACUGGCUAUGACCUUGCGGAGAUCCGGAGAUUCAGCAGUGUGUGAGAAGAGCAGCCUUCCUUUGUCCCUGUGGUAUUCAUAAAGUACCCACUCCACCCAG